RNAcentral lists this unclassified non-coding RNA (253 nucleotides) under uncultured Trueperaceae bacterium. RNAcentral's name for it is "contains 16S-23S intergenic spacer region". It matches the Rfam family "Bacterial small subunit ribosomal RNA", at positions 524 to 776 of the family's 1533-position model. Lineage: Bacteria; Thermotogati; Deinococcota; Deinococci; Trueperales; Trueperaceae. The record is from RNAcentral.
UACGUAGGUGGCAAGCGUUAUCCGGAAUCACUGGGCGUAAAGGGCGCGUAGGCGGUUUGUUAAGUCCGUUGUUAAAGACCGGGGCUCAACCCCGGAGUGGCAGUGGGUACUGGCAGGCUUGACGGCUGGAGAGGCGAGUGGAAUUACCAGUGUAGCGGUGGAAUGCGUAGAUACUGGUAGGAACACCCAUGGCGAAGGCAGCUCGCUGGACAGCUCGUGACGCUGAGGCGCGAAAGUGUGGGGAGCGAACCGG